GCUUCGGUGGAUCAGCGGUAGAAUGCUCACCUGCCACGCGGGUGGUCCGGGUUCGGUUCCCGACCGAUGCA
RNAcentral lists this transfer RNA (71 nucleotides) under Haemonchus placei. It matches the Rfam family "tRNA". Rfam says of the family: Transfer RNA (tRNA) molecules are approximately 80 nucleotides in length. Their secondary structure includes four short double-helical elements and three loops (D, anti-codon, and T loops). The record is from Rfam by way of RNAcentral. Lineage: Eukaryota; Metazoa; Nematoda; Chromadorea; Rhabditida; Trichostrongylidae.